Molecule: unclassified non-coding RNA, 250 nt
Filed under: plant metagenome
Description: partial contains small subunit ribosomal RNA, internal transcribed spacer 1, and 5.8S ribosomal RNA
Source: RNAcentral
GUAGGUGAACCUGCGGAAGGAUCAUUACCGAGAUUUUUCCAUGCUUGUCAUGGAAUCUCCCACCCUUUGUGUUACUUACAUUAUUACUUUGGUGAAGCGUGCUCUUGUUGUUUAGGCAGCAGAGUCCAUUGGUUUUGAUUGAUCUCGUUUUUGAUUUUGCAAGAAAUCCAAGUUCUGAGAUUUGAUUGAAACGGGUGAGCCUUCACCAAAGGAACCACAACUCUUAUUUUUAUCAAUUGUCUGAGUUUAU